This 564-nucleotide ribosomal RNA is filed under the name Lophiosilurus alexandri (Pac-Man catfish). RNAcentral describes it as "partial 16S ribosomal RNA". It matches the Rfam family "Bacterial large subunit ribosomal RNA", at positions 1822 to 2603 of the family's 2925-position model. Lineage: Eukaryota; Metazoa; Chordata; Actinopteri; Siluriformes; Pseudopimelodidae. The record is from RNAcentral.
CCUGCAAAAUCAAUGUAUAGGAGGUCUUACCUGCCCAGUGACAAGUUUAACGGCCGCGGUAUUUUGACCGUGCGAAGGUAGCGCAAUCACUUGUCUUUUAAAUGAAGACCUGUAUGAAUGGUGGAACGAGGGCUUAACUGUCUCCCCUCUCAAGUCAAUGAAAUUGAUCUGCCCGUGCAGAAGCGGACAUAUAAAUACAAGACGAGAAGACCCUUUGGAGCUUUAGAUAAAAGAUCACCUAUGUUAAGGACCUAGACAAGUCAAACCAAAUAGAAAUUGAUCCUAAUCUUUUGUUGGGGCGACCACGGGAAAAAAUAAAGCUCCCACGAGGAUUGGGCCACACCCCAAAACCAAGAGAGACAUUUCCAAGUCACAGAACAUCUGACCAUAAAGAUCCGGCCACCCGCCGACCAACGGACCAAGUUACCCUAGGGAUAACAGCGCAAUCCCCUUCCAGAGUCCAUAUCGACAAGGGGGUUUACGACCUCGAUGUUGGAUCAGGACAUCCUAAUGGUGCAGCCGCUAUUAAGGGUUCGUUUGUUCAACGAUUAAAGUCCUACGUGA